Non-coding RNA from Mucidula mucida, 66 nucleotides. The record is from the annotation of a GenBank genome assembly. Lineage: Eukaryota; Fungi; Basidiomycota; Agaricomycetes; Agaricales; Physalacriaceae.
AGCAGCAUGGCGCAGUGGUAGCGCGCGGGGCCCAUAACCCCGAGGUCCUGCUAUUAGAUCAUGCCU